GACGAACGCUGGCGGCGUGCUUAACACAUGCAAGUCGAACGGAAAGGCCCUGCUUUUGUGGGGUGCUCGAGUGGCGAACGGGUGAGUAACACGUGAGUAACCUGCCCUUGACUUUGGGAUAACUUCAGGAAACUGAGGCUAAUACCGGAUAGGAGCUCCUACUGCAUGGUGGGGGUUGGAAAGUUUCGGCGGUUGGGGAUGGACUCGCGGCUUAUCAGCUUGUUGGUGGGGUAGUGGCUUACCAAGGCUUUGACGGGUAGCCGGCCUGAGAGGGUGACCGGCCACAUUGGGACUGAGAUACGGCCCAGACUCCUACGGGAGGCAGCAGUGGGGAAUAUUGCACAAUGGGCGGAAGCCUGAUGCAGCAACGCCGCGUGCGGGAUGACGGCCUUCGGGUUGUAAACCGCUUUCGCCUGUGACGAAGCGUGAGUGACGGUAAUGGGUAAAGAAGCACCGGCUAACUACGUG
Molecule: ribosomal RNA, 468 nt
Filed under: uncultured bacterium
Lineage: Bacteria
Description: partial 16S ribosomal RNA
Rfam family: Bacterial small subunit ribosomal RNA
Source: RNAcentral